GCUGGGUGCGGUGGCUCACACCUGUAAUCCCAGCACUUUGGGAGGCUGAGGCAGGUGGAUCACCUGAGGUCAGGAGUUCCAGACCAGCCUGGCCAACAUGGUGAAACCUUGUCUCUA
This 117-nucleotide non-coding RNA is filed under the name Chlorocebus sabaeus (green monkey). Lineage: Eukaryota; Metazoa; Chordata; Mammalia; Primates; Cercopithecidae. The record is from Rfam by way of RNAcentral.